UACGAAGGGGGCUAGCGUUGCUCGGAAUCACUGGGCGUAAAGCGCACGUAGGCGGAUUGCUAAGUCAGGGGUGAAAUCCUGGAGCUCAACUCCAGAACUGCCUUUGAUACUGGCAACCUUGAGUCCGGGAGAGGUGAGUGGAACUGCGAGUGUAGAGGUGAAAUUCGUAGAUAUUCGCAAGAACACCAGUGGCGAAGGCGGCUCACUGGCCCGGAACUGACGCUGAGACGCGAAAGCGUGGGGAGCAAACAGG
This 253-nucleotide ribosomal RNA is filed under the name uncultured bacterium. RNAcentral describes it as "partial 16S ribosomal RNA". It matches the Rfam family "Bacterial small subunit ribosomal RNA", at positions 524 to 776 of the family's 1533-position model. The record is from RNAcentral.